RNAcentral lists this long non-coding RNA (472 nucleotides) under Brachypodium distachyon (stiff brome). RNAcentral's name for it is "long non-coding RNA (BDIS_LNC001301)". The record is from RNAcentral. Lineage: Eukaryota; Viridiplantae; Streptophyta; Magnoliopsida; Poales; Poaceae.
ACCACAGUGACGGUACUUUGCUUAGAAAACAUCAACAACAUAAUAGUUAGAUUAUGGAUCAAUGUCAUUAAAACUUAGCGUGGGCUUUGAACUAUGAAACCAAGCUCACACAGAUUGGAGAGUAGAAACAGAAUGCGAAGAUAGUGGGAGAGAGUGUUGUUCUUUGGUUCUCUAACUCACAGGUCGCACGAUCUAAUUUGACAGAGGUAAAAAGAGAAAAAUUGGAAAAGAGUGAACAGACGACGAAUAACUCUAAACUUUAUAGUAGGAAAGAAGUUGUCUAAUACUACUGGUGAAGAAAAAAAACAGCAAUCCAAAUAUCCACAGCACAAAUCAUGACAAAGUUCUUAAAGUGGUCACGGGUACUCGCAACAAAGAAAACAACAAGCUGCACACCGAAGAAGAAAAUCAACCACAACAAGUCUGUUACUAAACCAUCCCUCAAAACCACUAUUGCCCACACAAUCCACAA